This 91-nucleotide small nucleolar RNA is filed under the name Ipomoea nil (Japanese morning glory). Its description in RNAcentral is "small nucleolar RNA snoR114". It matches the Rfam family "small nucleolar RNA snoR114". The record is from Rfam by way of RNAcentral. Lineage: Eukaryota; Viridiplantae; Streptophyta; Magnoliopsida; Solanales; Convolvulaceae.
AAGCAAUGAUGAAAGCUGCGCUCUUGUGGUGAUUUGGGUCUCCACAAAUUAUCUGAUCUUUAAUCCGACGACUAGCAGCGCCUCUGAGCUC